GACGAACGCUGGCGGCGUGCUUAACACAUGCAAGUCGAGCGGUAAGGCCCUUCGGGGUACCCGAGCGGCGAACGCGUACGUAACACGUGCGUAAUCUGCCCCUCACUUCGGGAUAACUCCGGGAAACCGGUGCUAAUACCAAUACUGACCAAUACCAGCAACUGAAGGUGGAGGAAAGUUACGGCGUAGCUGGUUCAGCACGAGGCCUAUCUGCGUGUUGUUGGGGUAGUGGCCUGCCAAGGCGUCGCCGGGUGGCCGGCCUGUGAGGGUGACCGGGCCCACUGGGACUGAGACAGGGGCCAGACGCCAACGGGAGGCAGCAGUGGGGAAUAUUGCACAAUGGGCGAAAGGCUGAUCCAGCAACGUCGCGUGGGGGAGGACGGUCGUCGGGGUGGAAACCGCUUGCGGCAGGGAAGAAGAGAAAGUGACGGUAUCUGCAGAAGAAGCACCGGCCAACUACGUG
This 463-nucleotide ribosomal RNA is filed under the name uncultured bacterium. RNAcentral describes it as "partial 16S ribosomal RNA". It matches the Rfam family "Bacterial small subunit ribosomal RNA", at positions 28 to 507 of the family's 1533-position model. The record is from RNAcentral.